Molecule: ribosomal RNA, 465 nt
Filed under: Vreelandella stevensii
Lineage: Bacteria; Pseudomonadati; Pseudomonadota; Gammaproteobacteria; Oceanospirillales; Halomonadaceae
Description: partial 16S ribosomal RNA
Rfam family: Bacterial small subunit ribosomal RNA
Source: RNAcentral
CCUACGGGUGGCUGCAGUGGGGAAUAUUGGACAAUGGGGGGAACCCUGAUCCAGCCAUGCCGCGUGUGUGAAGAAGGCCCUCGGGUUGUAAAGCACUUUCAGUGAGGAAGAACGCCUGGUGGUUAAUACCCAUCAGGAAAGACAUCACUCACAGAAGAAGCACCGGCUAACUCCGUGCCAGCAGCCGCGGUAAUACGGAGGGUGCGAGCGUUAAUCGGAAUUACUGGGCGUAAAGCGCGCGUAGGUGGCUUGAUAAGCCGGUUGUGAAAGCCCCGGGCUCAACCUGGGAACGGCAUCCGGAACUGUCAAGCUAGAGUGCAGGAGAGGAAGGUAGAACUCCCGGUGUAGCGGUGAAAUGCGUAGAGAUCGGGAGGAAUACCAGUGGCGAAGGCGGCCUUCUGGACUGACACUGACACUGAGGUGCGAAAGCGUGGGUAGCAAACAGGAUUAGAUACCCUUGUAGUC